AACGAACGCUGGCGGCAUGCCUAACACAUGCAAGUCGAACGAGACCUUCGGGUCUAGUGGCGCACGGGUGCGUAACGCGUGGGAAUCUGCCCUUGGGUUCGGAAUAACAGUUAGAAAUGACUGCUAAUACCGGAUAAUGUCUUCGGACCAAAGAUUUAUCGCCCAGGGAUGAGCCCGCGUAGGAUUAGCUAGUUGGUGAGGUAAAGGCUCACCAAGGCGACGAUCCUUAGCUGGUCUGAGAGGAUGAUCAGCCACACUGGGACUGAGACACGGCCCAGACUCCUACGGGAGGCAGCAGUGGGGAAUAUUGGACAAUGGGCGAAAGCCUGAUCCAGCAAUGCCGCGUGAGUGAUGAAGGCCUUAGGGUUGUAAAGCUCUUUUACCCGGGUAUGAUAAUGACAGUACCGGGAGAAUAAACCCCGGCUAACUCCGUGCCAGCAGCCGCGGUAAU
Molecule: ribosomal RNA, 451 nt
Filed under: uncultured bacterium
Lineage: Bacteria
Description: bacterial SSU rRNA
Rfam family: Bacterial small subunit ribosomal RNA
Source: RNAcentral